UUGGGCAAACUUGAGGACAGCUCUUUGACCAUAAGGCCUUGCAGACUGGACUAUAAUGUCCUGUGGGUUCUCAAUGGCCACAAUGACCCUAGCAGCCAGUUGAAGUUUCUCCCAUGUCUUUCCAAGAUUGAUGAUAUAAAUUCCUGAGGGAUAAAUACCAAGUAAUUGAAUUCACACUAACAUCAAAAAAAUCUUGACAAUAUUUUUAAACUUCAGAACUCAGAUAAGAACGCCAAUGACAAGUGAGACAGGGACUUAGAGCUCUGGCAUGUGAAAUCAUAAUGCAUGUACCCAAUUAAUCUAUAAGAAUCUCUGAAAUGACCAAAAACAAAUUAUACAUGGGUGUUAAUGUUACAUAUAGAUAAAUGCAUAUUAAUUCCAAAUAAAAGCGCCAUUUCCACACGCAUCAAUUUAAGUGAAUAGGAACUACUUGAAACAAACCAAACUCACUUGCAUGUUAUUCAAAUAACACAAUUACGGAUACAGAUAGUAGCGUGAGACGAUCAAAUAGUUCCAUUUUCUUUUUGAUUCUGUAAACAUUACACCGAAAACUGAAAGCAAGACUCCCAAAUAUACAAUCAAAUGCUUUACGUCAAAUCACCUACAAAUUCACAUCAUCCAAAGUAAAAUACAAAGCUCAAAAUUAGUAUUAAUAUUAUAGUCUAAUGCGACUGAACGUAAUCCGUAUACCACAGAUCUGAGAUCUCCGGAUAAGCUAAUCCAAUGUCAAUCACAUUAAACCAUAAAUCAGAGUUCUCCAAAAUCAAAUUAGGGUCCAUUUACUAUGGACAACCAAAUACGAGCAUUUAGGCAAUAAAAAUUCACAAAUACAUAUAUAUAUGAAGGUAAGAGACAGAAUAUACCAUCAUUGCGUCGCUUGAAAACAUAACGUUCCAUCUGGAAGUCA
This 907-nucleotide unclassified non-coding RNA is filed under the name Hevea brasiliensis (rubber tree). Lineage: Eukaryota; Viridiplantae; Streptophyta; Magnoliopsida; Malpighiales; Euphorbiaceae. The record is from RNAcentral.